RNAcentral lists this transfer RNA (70 nucleotides) under Cobitis choii (Choi's spiny loach). RNAcentral's name for it is "tRNA-Phe". It matches the Rfam family "tRNA". From Rfam's summary of the family: Transfer RNA (tRNA) molecules are approximately 80 nucleotides in length. Their secondary structure includes four short double-helical elements and three loops (D, anti-codon, and T loops). Further hydrogen bonds mediate the characteristic L-shaped molecular structure. tRNAs have two regions of fundamental functional importance: the anti-codon, which is responsible for specific mRNA codon recognition, and the 3' end, to which the tRNAs corresponding amino acid is attached (by aminoacyl-tRNA synthetases). tRNAs cope with the degeneracy of the genetic code in two manners: having more than one tRNA (with a specific anti-codon) for a particular amino acid; and 'wobble' base-pairing, i.e. permitting non-standard base-pairing at the 3rd anti-codon position. Lineage: Eukaryota; Metazoa; Chordata; Actinopteri; Cypriniformes; Cobitidae. The record is from RNAcentral.
GCUCGCGUAGCUUAAAAUAAAGCAUAGCACUGAAGAUGCUAAGAUGGGCCCUAGAAAAGCCCCGCUUGCA